GCAGUCGCGCGCGAAGCCUUCGGGCGAGUAAAGCGGCGCAAGGGUGAGUAACACGUAACCAAUCUGCCCCUCAGACCGGGAUAACCAUCGGAAACGGUGGAUAAUACCGGAUGGCCCGCUGGAAGGCAUCUUUCGGACGGUAAACGGUGGCGCAAGCUGCUGCUGGGGGAGGGGGUUGCGGCCUAUCAGCUUGUUGGUGGGGUAACGGCCCACCAAGGCGAUGACGGGUAGCUGGUCUGAGAGGACGACCAGUCACACUGGGACUGAGACACUGCCCAGACUCCUACGGGAGGCUGCAGUCGAGAAUCUUCCGCAAUGGGCGAAAGCCUGACGGAGCGACACCGCGUGCAGGAUGAAGGCCCUAGGGUUGUAAACUGCUGUCACGCAUUAGGAAUGGCGUGCAGUCAAUAGCUGUACGUUUGACCAAAGCGAAAGGAAGCACCGGCUAACUCCGUGCCAGCAGCCGCGGUAAGACGGAGGGUGCAAACGUUGUUCGGAAUCACUGGGCAUAAAGCGCACGUAGGCGGCGCGUUAAGUCAGGUGUGAAAGCCCCCGGCUCAACCGGGGAACUGCAUCUGAUACUGACGUGCUCGAGGACGGUUGGGGUGAGUGGAACUCCUGGUGGAGCGGUGAAAUGCGUAGAUAUCGGGAAGAACACCAGUGGCGAAGGCGCUCUGCUGGGCCAUAACUGACGCUCAUGGACGAAAGCCAGGGGAGCGAAAGGGAUUAGAUACCCUGGUA
Molecule: ribosomal RNA, 741 nt
Filed under: uncultured bacterium
Lineage: Bacteria
Description: bacterial SSU rRNA
Rfam family: Bacterial small subunit ribosomal RNA
Source: RNAcentral